This 33-nucleotide non-coding RNA is filed under the name Calcidiscus leptoporus. Lineage: Eukaryota; Haptophyta; Coccolithales; Calcidiscaceae. The record is from RNAcentral.
CAGGGCCGGCAGGCAGCAGCUAUCGAGAUGUUU